GACAGAGGGUGCAAACGUUGCUCGGAAUUACUGGGCGUAAAGCGCGUGUAGGUGGAUUGGUGUGUCAGAUGUGAAAGCCCUGGGCUCAACCCAGGAACUGCACCUGAAACUACCAGUCUUGAGUGGUGGAGAGGGAAGUGGAAUUCCUGGUGUAGAGGUGAAAUUCGUAGAUAUCAGGAGGAACACCAGUGGCGAAGGCGGCUCACUGGACCGGUUCUGACGCUGAGGCGCGAAAGCGUGGGGAGCAAACAGG
This 253-nucleotide ribosomal RNA is filed under the name uncultured bacterium. RNAcentral's name for it is "partial 16S ribosomal RNA". It matches the Rfam family "Bacterial small subunit ribosomal RNA", at positions 524 to 776 of the family's 1533-position model. The record is from RNAcentral.